RNAcentral lists this unclassified non-coding RNA (348 nucleotides) under soil metagenome. Its description in RNAcentral is "partial contains 5.8S ribosomal RNA, internal transcribed spacer 2, and large subunit ribosomal RNA". The stretch from base 1 to 120 matches the Rfam family "5.8S ribosomal RNA", at positions 35 to 154 of the family's 154-position model. The record is from RNAcentral.
GAUGAAGAACGCAGCGAAAUGCGAUUAGUAAUGUGAAUUGCAGAAUUCAGUGAAUCAUCGAAUCUUUGAACGCACAUUGCGCCCGCCAGUAUUCUGGCGGGCAUGCCUGUCUGAGCGUCAUUUCAACCCUCAUGCCCCUAGGGCGUGGUGUUGGGGAUCGGCCAAAGCCCGCGAGGGACGGCCGGCCCCUAAAUCUAGUGGCGGACCCGUCGUGGCCUCCUCUGCGAAGUAGUGAUAUUCCGCAUCGGAGAGCGAUGAGCCCCUGCCGUUAAACCCCCAACUUUCCAAGGUUGACCUCAGAUCAGGUAGGAAUACCCGCUGAACUUAAGCAUAUCAAUAAGCGGAGGA